Molecule: non-coding RNA, 98 nt
Filed under: Symbiodinium sp. CCMP2430
Lineage: Eukaryota; Dinophyceae; Suessiales; Symbiodiniaceae
Source: RNAcentral
AAAGAAACCAAAUAUAAAAAGAAAGAAAGAAAACAAGAGAACAAAGAUGUGAGUUCUCGUUUACACGGUUAAUUUGUUUUGUUCUUUUUGCUCAUUUU